This 488-nucleotide ribosomal RNA is filed under the name uncultured bacterium. RNAcentral's name for it is "bacterial SSU rRNA". It matches the Rfam family "Bacterial small subunit ribosomal RNA", at positions 31 to 507 of the family's 1533-position model. The record is from RNAcentral.
GAACGCUAGCUACAGGCUUAACACAUGCAAGUCGAGGGGAAACGAUAUUGGAAGCUUGCUUCUGAUAGGCGUCGACCGGCGCACGGGUGAGUAACGCGUAUCCAACCUGCCCAUCACUUGGGGAUAACCUUGCGAAAGUAAGACUAAUACCCAAUGACGUCUCUAGAAGACAUCUGAAAGAGAUUAAAGAUUUAUCGGUGAUGGAUGGGGAUGCGUCUGAUUAGCUUGUUGGCGGGUAACGGCCCACCAAGGCGACGAUCAGUAGGGGUUCUGAGAGGAAGGUCCCCCACAUUGGAACUGAGACACGGUCCAAACUCCUACGGGAGGCAGCAGUGAGGAAUAUUGGUCAAUGGACGAGAGUCUGAGCCAGCCAAGUAGCGUGCAGGAUGACGGCCCUAUGGGUUGUAAACUGCUUUUAUAAGGGAAUAAAGUGAGUCUCGUGAGACUUUUUGCAUGUACCUUAUGAAUAAGGACCGGCUAAUUCCGUG